AAAACGGCCCUUUUCAGGGCCACUAAAUCGUUUGACUUCGAAUGUU
Molecule: non-coding RNA, 46 nt
Filed under: Cinara cedri
Lineage: Eukaryota; Metazoa; Arthropoda; Insecta; Hemiptera; Aphididae
Rfam family: Histone 3' UTR stem-loop
About the family: The mRNAs of metazoan histone genes lack a poly-A tail. 3' end processing occurs at a site between a highly conserved stem-loop (modelled by this family) and a purine rich region around 20 nts downstream (the histone downstream element, or HDE).
Source: RNAcentral